AUCCAGUUGACAAGUCCUAAAUAGGAUGAAAUGUGCAUCCUGGAU
This 45-nucleotide non-coding RNA is filed under the name Trichobilharzia regenti. Lineage: Eukaryota; Metazoa; Platyhelminthes; Trematoda; Strigeidida; Schistosomatidae. The record is from RNAcentral.